RNAcentral lists this ribosomal RNA (253 nucleotides) under uncultured bacterium. Its description in RNAcentral is "partial 16S ribosomal RNA". It matches the Rfam family "Bacterial small subunit ribosomal RNA", at positions 524 to 776 of the family's 1533-position model. The record is from RNAcentral.
UACGGGGGGGGCGAGCGUUGUUCGGAAUUACUGGGCGUAAAGGGCGCGUAGGCGGUCUGCUAAGUUGGAUGUGAAAACUCUGGGCUUAACCCAGAGCCUGCAUUCAAAACUGACAGGCUAGAGUUCUGGAGGGGAUAGCGGAAUUCCUGGUGUAGCGGUGAAAUGCGUAGAUAUCAGGAGGAACACCGGUGGCGAAGGCGGCUAUCUGGACAGAAACUGACGCUGAGGCGCGAAAGCGUGGGGAGCAAACGGG